This 357-nucleotide transfer-messenger RNA is filed under the name Acidobacteria bacterium RBG_16_70_10. It matches the Rfam family "transfer-messenger RNA". From Rfam's summary of the family: Bacterial tmRNA, also known as 10Sa RNA or SsrA, is named for its dual tRNA and mRNA-like properties. Its role is to liberate the mRNA from a stalled ribosome. To accomplish this part of the tmRNA is used as a reading frame that ends in a translation stop signal. RNAcentral also lists the same sequence under 1 other name. The record is from RNAcentral. Lineage: Bacteria; Pseudomonadati; Acidobacteriota.
GGGGGCGUCACGGUUUCGACGGGAACGUGACCCCGAAAGGAGCAGGCCGAGUGUGCCUACCGGCUCGAAAAUUCGGUGGGAAAGUCACAACUGCCAACGAUAACUUGGCACUGGCUGCCUAACUUCUAGGCAACCCGCUCUUCCGGAGCCCCGCCCGUGGGAACUGGAAAGGGCGUCAUAAAAGCGGGCUGGCCGCACAUCCUCGGUCCGGGGGUGGAAGGCGAGAUCAAACGGACUAGCCCUCGCCGGUUUUGUCCGGCCUUCACGGCGGGGGCGAAACACCAGGUCGGACUAAGCCUGUAGGGCCUCUCGCCGGCGCGCUUCCGGACGCGGGUUCGACUCCCGCCGCCUCCACCA